UACAGGUCGUCGGUGGGCAGCGUCUCCGGCCGCCCCGCCUUGCGGUCGUUCUCCUCAACCACGGCUUUGAUGUCCGGCCGGUUCAGGGUGGACUGCGCCAGGAACACCAUCGUGGCCUCCCUGACGACCGCGACGAGGUCCCCGUUCCACGGGGACUCGCAUUGCGACAGGAGGUACUCGAACUGCUCCUGGAUGGGCAGCUCCCUCACCCCACCCCCCGACCAGUCCUCGGGCGCCAUGCCGCAGAUGUAGUCGUUCGCGAACGUGUACCAGAGACGCUCCCGUGACUCCUCGUACUCGGCGCACUUGUACACCCGCGACCCGCUCUGGUCGCAGAAGGCGCUCUGCAGCUCGUUCUGCAGCUCGGCCACCAUGCCUAUCGCCACCAGCCCGUGCUGGCCCGUGAACUGGGUCACCACGCUCUUCACCCCGCCCGCCAGCCUGUGCCCCUCCAGCUCGGGGAUGUCCCCCAGGUCACCACCGGCGCCGUCGCCCCUGGCGUGCGCCGCGUCGACGUAGGGAGGCGAGGUCAGCACGCACGACGAGACGAGAACCGCGAGGAGCAGCCUCGCGGCGGUCCUCAU
This 584-nucleotide long non-coding RNA is filed under the name Micromonas commoda. Its description in RNAcentral is "long non-coding RNA (MCOM_LNC000415)". The record is from RNAcentral. Lineage: Eukaryota; Viridiplantae; Chlorophyta; Mamiellophyceae; Mamiellales; Mamiellaceae.